UGUUACGUCAGUUGAAACGUCUUUUUUAUUACUUCUCCGAUGCUGUACAGGCACCACAUCCUAGUUUUCCUAAGUUAAUGCUGUGCAUGAAUGCAUAAAGUACCACAGCAUAAAGCCUUAUAAAGACCACAGUUUACCAGUGCUUGCUGCCGCUUAUUGACCAAAUCCACCAAACAGAGGACAACUUGCCGUGUUCUUUGACUUGAACACACAUCUAUACCUUUGACCGCUCCAAACCAGUGCAUCCUUGGAGACAUCGCAACACCCUGAGAACCCUCUCCGUUUCAGUAACUAUAAAAUGAAUGUCUCAGCUUUAUAAAACCUCUUCAUGCUUGCAAAGUUUGCAGAAAUAUUGUCUGCGUCGUAUCAGAAUGGAGUGAAAGGUGGCAACCAUCCCUGCGAAAGUUCAGCAGAACUCGGUCCUGAAGUUGAAUUAUUCAUCAGACGUCAUUGCCAUUCUUGUCUACCUCUUAAUUGACAGGUGUCUAGGUAUUCUCCCGGAAGAUUGUACAUGUGUGGGCUCAUCCGCGUUCAAGGUACCGGUGGGACACUAUUAUUCCUGACUUCAGUGUAAUGCAGUUCCAGUCGAACUUCUGUGUUUCCCAGGAGUCGUUUGUCUACAUUUGUGAUCGGUUUAGGCAGAAGAUAGCAUAGCAAGAAGGGACGCAACCUUCCGUGUGAGCGUCCCCACUGAAAAAUGCGUGGAAGCUUGCUACUGAAGGAGAAUCCAGGACCAUAAGCCAUCUGUUUGGAGUUGGCUUAUGAAGUGUGUUCAUCUGCUUGCGUGACUGCAACAUAGCCACAAGUGUACUGCUUCCUCUUCACAUGGCAACCCCAGAUGCUAACAAGUUGGUAGAGAUGGAUGUAUUUUUUAACAGUCGCUGGGGAGCACCGCAGUGUGUGUGCGCCAUUUAAUGGUAGUCGUAUUCCCAUAAUUGUGCCUGAGGAGUAUGCCAGAGACUACUACAACCGGAAAAGAUGGUAUUCUAUCAUUUUACCAGCGGUGGUAAAUGGAAAAGGACAAUUCGAGGACGUUUGUGUUGGAUAUCCUGGGAGUGUGCAUGUAUAACUAAAGUAAACAUCUCAGGCUAGUGGGGUAUUACCUGAUUGGUGACCCAGCAUACCCCUUGCAAAGGUGGCUGAUGAAGCCCUUCACGGACACAGGAAGGUUGACCCCACAACAAAGGACCAAUGAUUACAGACUCAGCUGUGCACGAUCUGUUGUGGAGACAGGGCUUGGAAGGCUGAAAGGAAGAUGGAGGUGUCUGCUAAAAAGAAAUGACUGUAAACUUGAACUGUGCAAAAAAAAUGGUUGUUACAUGCUGUAUUUUGCACAUUAUUUGUGAGGAACACAGUGACAGCUACAUUGAUGAAAAUGUUGGCUCUACUGACAGUGUUCAGCCACCUGUUCAGUAUUACCUGAACACCCUGUUUGCAGCAAUGGAAUAUUUCAGUCAAUAUUGUGUGGCUUUCUGUUGUGCCUAUGCCUUUUUUUUCUGUUUUUGUUGUUGUUGGGCUGCAAAAGUUGACAAAUUAUUUGUACCCACUUGUACAGGCAUAUUGUGCGCACGUAAACACACCAA
Dunckerocampus dactyliophorus (ringed pipefish) is the source of this 1583-nucleotide long non-coding RNA. RefSeq lists it as uncharacterized. Lineage: Eukaryota; Metazoa; Chordata; Actinopteri; Syngnathiformes; Syngnathidae. The transcript is spliced from 5 exons. The record is from RefSeq and is a predicted model, not a curated record.